Molecule: ribosomal RNA, 468 nt
Filed under: uncultured bacterium
Lineage: Bacteria
Description: partial 16S ribosomal RNA
Rfam family: Bacterial small subunit ribosomal RNA
Source: RNAcentral
GACGAACGCUGGCGGCGUGCUUAACACAUGCAAGUCGAACGGAAAGGCCCUGCUUUUGUGGGGUGCUCGUGUGGCGAACGGGUGAGUAACACGUGAGUAACCUGCCCUUGACUUUGGGAUAACUUCUGGAAACUGGGGCUCAUACCGCAUAGGAGAUUCUGCUGCAUGGUGGGGGUUGGAAAGUUUCGGCGGUUGGGGAUGGACUCGCGGCUUAUCAGCUUGUUGGUGGGGUAGUGGCUUACCAAGGCUUUGACGGGUAGGCGGCCUGGGAGGGGGAACAGGGACAAGAGGACUGAGGUACGGCGCAGAAGGGAACGGGAGGCAAUAGUGGGGAAUAUUGCAGAAUGGGCGGAAGCCUGAUGCAGCAACGUCGCGUGCGGGAUGACGUGCUUCGGGUGGUGAACCGCUUUCGCCUGUGAUGAAGCGUGAGUGACGGUAAUGAGUAAAGAAGCACCGGCUAACUACGUG